Molecule: ribosomal RNA, 392 nt
Filed under: uncultured bacterium
Lineage: Bacteria
Description: bacterial SSU rRNA
Rfam family: Bacterial small subunit ribosomal RNA
Source: RNAcentral
AAUCAACGCUGGCGGCGUGCCUCAGACAUGCAAGUCGAACGCGAAAGUUCCCUUCGGGGGAUGAGUAGAGUGGCGCACGGGUGAGUAACACGUAGGUAAUCUACCUUCGGAUGGGGAAUAACAACCGGAAACGGUUGCUAAUACCGCAUAAUGCAGCGGCACCUAAUGGUGACAGUUGCUAAAGCGGGGGAUCGAAAGACCUCGCGUCUGAAGAGGAGCCUGCGGCGGAUUAGCUAGUUGGUAGGGUAACGGCCUACCAAGGCUACGAUCCGUAGCCGGCCUGAGAGGGCGGUCGGCCACACUGACACUGACAUACGGGUCAGACUCCUACGGGAGGCAGCAGUCGGGAAUUUUGGGCAAUGGGCGAAAGCCUGACCCAGCAACGCCGCGUG